Molecule: long non-coding RNA, 653 nt
Filed under: Fukomys damarensis (Damara mole-rat)
Lineage: Eukaryota; Metazoa; Chordata; Mammalia; Rodentia; Bathyergidae
Description: lncRNA (ENSFDAG00000024565.1)
Source: RNAcentral
AGAAAAAAAAUUUCCCCAUGUAACUCUGUCCUAACUUUUACUAUGCUGAAGUCUAUUAUUCAUCAUGAGGAAUGAUGGGAGAUUCCCUACUACAUAAAGCUUCAAGGCAGAUCAUAAAAUAAGACUUUCUGGGUAAAAUUUGUCAUUUUAUGCUCCUGAAAUAGAAACUUUUAAGCAGCACCAAAUCACUCAUAUGUGAGCCAGCUGUGGCCCGCCCUGCUCCCCGCUGCAUCACUGCAGAUACUAAGCACCGUUACCAGUGUUCACGCGAAAGAUUCUGCAGCAGGGGACGCCCUCUGUGAGUGCCUUUAAAAAUGCCCUUGAAGUCAUUGUCCAGAAGAAAGAUUACGUCUGCUUCUAUGAAAAUACAUGAAGGCCAGCAGCCCGAUGUCUUCCAUAGAACCCGUGUAAAGUCUUCCAUAAUAUUAAGAUCAAGUAUUGACAGAAAAACCAGCGCGACAUCGCGUGUCAUGAAACCACCUGUUCCUGUGAGCACUGACUGAUACAUUCAGGUCAUGGUCUUUACCCGCCCCAGUGGGAGCUGAUUCCUGUUGAUGAUGAGGAAUACCCACAAGAUCAAAAUAUCCUGCAGUGUUGAGACUCUACAAAAAAAGAACGGAAUCACUAGAUCGUCUCGCCGACCCAAAGGAAGC